RNAcentral lists this ribosomal RNA (524 nucleotides) under Aggregatibacter actinomycetemcomitans. Its description in RNAcentral is "bacterial SSU rRNA". It matches the Rfam family "Bacterial small subunit ribosomal RNA", at positions 460 to 982 of the family's 1533-position model. Lineage: Bacteria; Pseudomonadati; Pseudomonadota; Gammaproteobacteria; Pasteurellales; Pasteurellaceae. The record is from RNAcentral.
UAUGCCAACUUGACGUUAAAUACAGAAGAAGCACCGGCUAACUCCGUGCCAGCAGCCGCGGUAAUACGGGGGGUGCGAGCGUUAAUCGGAAUAACUGGGCGUAAAGGGCACGUAGGCGGACCUUUAAGUGAGGUGUGAAAUCCCCGGGCUUAACCUGGGAAUUGCAUUUCAUACUGGGGGUCUGGAGUACUUUAGGGAGGGGUAGAAUUCCACGUGUAGCGGUGAAAUGCGUAGAGAUGUGGAGGAAUACCGAAGGCGAAGGCAGCCCCUUGGGGAUGUACUGACGCUGAUGUGCGAAAGCGUGGGGAGCAAACAGGAUUAGAUACCCUGGUAGUCCACGCUGUAAACGGUGUCGAUUUGGGGAUUGGGGUUUAGCCCUGGUGCCCGAAGCUAACGUGAUAAAUCGACCGCCUGGGGAGUACGGCCGCAAGGUUAAAACUCAAAUGAAGGACGGGGUUCCCGCACACACCGUGGAAGUUUAUUAAGCACAACGUGACGUUAAAUAUGCCAACUGAUCGUAGUUA